AACGAAGCUGCGGCCAACUCGUACGCGACCCGCACUGUUACGGCUGCGAAAUACUCUUUUUCAUACCUGUUUCGCCUGAUUUUUAGAUCGAGCAGAUUGAUUAGAUCGAGGCCGGGUACAAUCGAGAUUCUACUGAAUGCUCAAAAAUUAACUUAAAGCUGGACACACGCAAAGAUCGGCAAUAACAAUAUUUGACAAAGAGACAUGCCGAAAAGUCAGGAAAACAAGAUACACGAGCAGCUUUCUUUGGCGAACACACAUGCCAAGAAUAAGAUCAUACGGUUAGGUCCGGCGUUUCCGUUAACCGGACGGCGGCGGGUCGGUACGAAUUCUGCCGUGUUUGAAGGUAACGACAGGUGGAGGAAGGUGAAACCGAGAGGAAACAGGCUGUCAUGGCGGAGGAAGACUGCCAGGAGAGCGGAUGUCAUUUCGUGGUCGACUUAUUUCGUUGCCGAGAGGACAAGUCAUCUCUACUAUAAUCUGCAAAAUAUCGCCAGCUUAAAAUGAUUGUGAUGAGACACCUAUUAUAAUUCAAUGUGCGAAGAAUUAAACUCUGCAAUUUUC
This is a long non-coding RNA of Megalopta genalis, 564 nucleotides long. RefSeq lists it as uncharacterized. The record is from RefSeq and is a predicted model, not a curated record. Lineage: Eukaryota; Metazoa; Arthropoda; Insecta; Hymenoptera; Halictidae.